AGAAUAUUUGCCACAUGAUCGGUAUGUUGUUGAACCAACAUCACCGCCAUCCGUAUUACCACCAACAACGAGUGAACCAACAACAAAUAAAUAUUACAAAUAUUCAGCAUCAUCAACAACGACCACGACCAAUGCACACAAUCGACCCGAACGUGAAGUAUUGUUGGCUCCAUUUCCAACCGAUGGCAUCCAACAUCAACAACCAAACCAAGUUGAUGGCCCUCCCAAGCAUCUAGGUCAAUUGUUAGCUUCAUUUGAUGAGAAUACUGGACGAGGUGAUGAGGAACCGUAUGUGGCACGAAAAGAGGUCAACACUGCAUUGGCCACCAAUAAAGGAAUACCAGUUGUUGAGCCAAAAGCUCCCACAAAAAAUAUUGCUGGCCCACCCGUAUACUAUCCGCCUGGUCAGGAACUAUUCGCCAAGAGUGAAGCUCAAGCCGCCUGGAGAGCAAAGGGUGGUUGGGCCAAGGGUAGCGGCAAAUAUGAAUAUGAAGCCGAAAGUAAAUCGAAGAGUGCAAGCAAAUCUGGGGCUGCUGUUGUACCAGUAUGUUUGCCAUUAUGUUGUGCUAUGCCAUGUACGAUUAUGUAAAAGACCAACCAAAAUAUUAAGUGCACUCGAGUCGAGACAACUUUACUGCACAAAAUAGCACAGCCAAUAAUCGAAGAACAACGAUUUACUGAAAGGGCACGACAUAUAUACAUUUUACCCAUUUUAUUUUCUGUACUACUAACAAGUGCAUUUCAAACGCAAAUAUGUUUUCUAACAGUCCAAGGAAGGAAGGGAAAUUUUUGGAACAUGAAAAAUUUGCAUUUGUUUUCAUUGGAAUGCAAAAACUAUCACUAAAAGUCACUAAUCACUUAUAAUGAACUAAUCAAUUUUCUUGUGUAAUAAUUAAAUUUUAAAUGACGUCGUACGGCGAGAUGAAACACUCAUUGAACGCUUUUUCCAUUGUAACACCACGCUCACUCAACAAGUCGGUGAACACACUCUUGAUUCUCUUUUUGUGCCACAACAUUGUCAAUUUUAUUAUCGUUAAUUUAAACAUUUCUAUUUUUGUAUUACGAACGCUAAUUUUUUUUUCUUCCAAUUUUCAAGAGAUAACAAGUAUAUUUUAUUGGCUCUAGAUCCCAAUUUAUAUAUAGCAAAGUCUAAUCAUCCUUAAUGAAAUGUAUUAUUUCAAAUUAAUAAAAUAAAAAUAUACGAUUUGUUGGAUAAGA
Long non-coding RNA from Contarinia nasturtii (swede midge), 1218 nucleotides. RefSeq lists it as uncharacterized. The record is from RefSeq and is a predicted model, not a curated record. The transcript is spliced from 3 exons. NCBI's taxonomy places the organism in Eukaryota, Metazoa, Arthropoda, Insecta, Diptera, Cecidomyiidae.